Molecule: ribosomal RNA, 253 nt
Filed under: uncultured bacterium
Lineage: Bacteria
Description: partial 16S ribosomal RNA
Rfam family: Bacterial small subunit ribosomal RNA
Source: RNAcentral
UACGUAGGCAGCGAGCGUUGUUCGGAGUUACUGGGCGUAAAGGGUGUGUAGGCGGUUGUUUAAGUUUGGUGUGAAAUCUCCCGGCUUAACUGGGAGGGUGCGCCGAAAACUGGAAGGCUUGAGUAUGGGAGAGGUAAGCGGAAUUCCUGGUGUAGCGGUGAAAUGCGUAGAUAUCAGGAGGAACACCUGCGGUGUAGACGGCUUACUGGACCAUAACUGACGCUGAGGCACGAAAGCGUGGGUAGCAAACAGG